This 31-nucleotide non-coding RNA is filed under the name Mus musculus (house mouse). Lineage: Eukaryota; Metazoa; Chordata; Mammalia; Rodentia; Muridae. The record is from RNAcentral.
UAGACAUUUUGAGAAAUGAUCAUAAAAGUGA